GUCUGCGGCCACGCCACCCUGAAUGUGCCCGAUCCCGUCUGAUCUCGGAAGCUAAGCAGGGUUGGGCCUGGUUAGUACUUGGAUGGGAGACCACCUACGAAGACCAGGUGCUGUAGGCA
Molecule: ribosomal RNA, 119 nt
Filed under: Pteropus alecto (black flying fox)
Lineage: Eukaryota; Metazoa; Chordata; Mammalia; Chiroptera; Pteropodidae
Source: RNAcentral